Long non-coding RNA from Cygnus atratus (black swan), 313 nucleotides. RefSeq lists it as uncharacterized. Lineage: Eukaryota; Metazoa; Chordata; Aves; Anseriformes; Anatidae. The record is from RefSeq and is a predicted model, not a curated record. The transcript has 3 exons.
AGAAUUUGUUUUGUUUCUGUUCAUUGCCUACAUGGAAGACAGAAACUUACUGAAGAUCUGAAGUUCAUCCCAAUAAACUGACCUUAAUACUCUCAAAACAGUUGUGCAGUGUAUCAAUCAGCCCAGGGAUUCCUUUAAAGCACCUCUACUUGUGGUAGGUAGAAAAACUGGGAUGCACAAGUAGCCCCCUCUAUUCAGGGAGUGAGUUUGCCGAAAACUACGUAAUCACAACAGCAAGUUCUAAGGAGUUAUUCAGAAUACUGACAGACUUAAUGUAAUACACACACCACCUGGAGAUCUGCACUGAGAACCU